Molecule: microRNA precursor, 193 nt
Filed under: Oryza brachyantha (malo sina)
Lineage: Eukaryota; Viridiplantae; Streptophyta; Magnoliopsida; Poales; Poaceae
Description: MIR812 microRNA precursor family
Rfam family: MIR812 microRNA precursor family
Source: Rfam by way of RNAcentral
AAUAAGAUCAUUUUUUAGUUUUCUGAUAUAAUGUUUUGAUUCUUCGUCUUACUCGAAAUUUUUUUGCGAUUAAUAUUUUUAUUCUUACUAGAUGAUAAAACAUGAAUAGUAGUUUAUAUGUGACUAAUUUUUUUAAGUUUUUGUACAAAUUUUUCAAAUAAGACGAAUGAUCAAACGUUGGAUAUGGAAAAAC